CCUACGGUGGGCAGCAGUGAGGAAUAUUGGUCAAUGGACGAGAGUCUGAACCAGCCAAGUAGCGUGAAGGAUGACUGCCCUACGGGUUGUAAACUUCUUUUAUAUGGGAAUAAAAUGUUCCACGUGUGGGAUUUUGUAUGUACCAUAUGAAUAAGGUUCGGCUAACUCCGUGCCAGCAGCCGCGGUAAUACGGAGGAUCCGAGGGUUAUCCGGAUUUAUUGGGUUUAAAGGGAGCGUAGGUGGAUUGUUAAGUCAGUUGGGAAAGUUUGCGGCGCAACCGUAAAAUUGAAUUUGAAACUGGCAGUCUUGAGUACAGUAGAGGUGGGCGGAAGUCGUGGUGUAGCGGUGAAAUGCUGAGAUAUCACGAAGAACUCCGAGUGCGAAGGCAGCUCACUGGACUGCAACUGACACUGAGGCUCGAAAGUGUGGGUAUCAAACAGGAUUAGAUACCCCUGUAGUC
RNAcentral lists this ribosomal RNA (460 nucleotides) under uncultured bacterium. RNAcentral describes it as "partial 16S ribosomal RNA". It matches the Rfam family "Bacterial small subunit ribosomal RNA", at positions 338 to 795 of the family's 1533-position model. The record is from RNAcentral.